RNAcentral lists this transfer RNA (63 nucleotides) under Rattus norvegicus (Norway rat). It matches the Rfam family "tRNA", at positions 1 to 62 of the family's 71-position model. From Rfam's summary of the family: Transfer RNA (tRNA) molecules are approximately 80 nucleotides in length. Their secondary structure includes four short double-helical elements and three loops (D, anti-codon, and T loops). Further hydrogen bonds mediate the characteristic L-shaped molecular structure. tRNAs have two regions of fundamental functional importance: the anti-codon, which is responsible for specific mRNA codon recognition, and the 3' end, to which the tRNAs corresponding amino acid is attached (by aminoacyl-tRNA synthetases). tRNAs cope with the degeneracy of the genetic code in two manners: having more than one tRNA (with a specific anti-codon) for a particular amino acid; and 'wobble' base-pairing, i.e. permitting non-standard base-pairing at the 3rd anti-codon position. Lineage: Eukaryota; Metazoa; Chordata; Mammalia; Rodentia; Muridae. The record is from Rfam by way of RNAcentral.
GGGGAUUUAGCUCAGUGGUAGAGCGCUUGCCUAGCAAGCGCAAGGCCAUGGGUUCAGUUCCCA